This is a long non-coding RNA of Panicum virgatum (switchgrass), 568 nucleotides long. RefSeq lists it as uncharacterized. The record is from RefSeq and is a predicted model, not a curated record. The transcript is spliced from 3 exons. NCBI's taxonomy places the organism in Eukaryota, Viridiplantae, Streptophyta, Magnoliopsida, Poales, Poaceae.
GGCCGCAUUUUGUGAACAAAACAACAUGACAGAGUUAGAACUUCUUCAAAUUGAGUAUGGAGAAGAUUGGUGGAAACAACCAUUGCCACUACCACCGAUUACCUGGAAAUUUGAAUUGGGGAAAGAUCUGGUGGCCCCAGAACAAAUCCCGAAGCUACCCACAAGAAUGCGACAGUUGCAUUCUUGGUACAAGAUGUAAAAAAGUAAGCUGUUUGGGGCAAGUUAUCUUGAUGAAGAUCUUCAUAAGGGGGAAGGCAGAGUGUGGGUUGAUUUCGAGCACUUGUAUCAUUUCUACCAACAGGGUGCUCUCGACGUCUCAAUUAUGACCUUGUGGACUGUAAUGGAGUCACACAAAUGUAGACGAUGUGGGAUUAACAAUAUAGGCUUCUUGGACCCUAGCACCGUACAUGAGAACACAGUCAAUUUACCAAGUACCGUUGACUACUUGUACAAAGCUUUCCUCUCCAUGCAGGAUAAAAGAUCCAUACUUCUUUCAUACAAUUGCUUUUAUCAUCAUGUCCUACUCGAUAUCAGCCUUAACGAUAGUCGAAUCGAGGUUUAUGACUCA